This 426-nucleotide ribosomal RNA is filed under the name uncultured bacterium. RNAcentral describes it as "bacterial SSU rRNA". It matches the Rfam family "Bacterial small subunit ribosomal RNA", at positions 356 to 773 of the family's 1533-position model. The record is from RNAcentral.
GGGGAAUUGUUCGCAAUGGGCGCAAGCCUGACGACGCAACGCCGCGUGGAGGAUGAAGGUCUUCGGAUUGUAAACUCCUGUUGCCCGGGAAGAAUGAGUUACGACCUAACACGUCGUGGCAAUGACGGUACCGGUUGAGGAAGCCACGGCUAACUCUGUGCCAGCAGCCGCGGUAAUACAGAGGUGGCAAGCGUUGUUCGGAAUUACUGGGCGUAAAGGGCGCGUAGGCGGCCUUCUAAGUCAGACGUGAAAUCCCCAGGCUUAACUUGGGAACUGCGUCUGAUACUGGGAGGCUUGAGUGCGGGAGAGGGAUGUGGAAUUCCAGGUGUAGCGGUGAAAUGCGUAGAUAUCUGGAGGAACACCGGUGGCGAAGGCGGCAUCCUGGACCGACACUGACGCUGAGGCGCGAAAGCCAGGGGAGCAAAC